GAUGAAGAACGUAGCGAAAUGCGAUAAGUAAUGUGAAUUGCAGAAUUCAGUGAAUCAUCGAAUCUUUGAACGCACAUUGCGCCCGCCAGUAUUCUGGCGGGCAUGCCUGUUCGAGCGUCAUUUCAACCAUCAAGCCCCCGGCUUGUGUUGGGGACCUGCGGCUGCCGCAGGCCCUGAAAAGCAGUGGCGGGCUCGCUGUCACACCGAGCGUAGUAGCAUACAUCUCGCUCUGGGCGUGCUGCGGGUUCCGGCCGUUAAACCACCUUCAUAACCCAAGGUUGACCUCGGAUCAGGUAGGAAGACCCGCUGAACUUAAGCAUAUCAAUAAGCGGACGA
RNAcentral lists this unclassified non-coding RNA (336 nucleotides) under soil metagenome. RNAcentral describes it as "partial contains 5.8S ribosomal RNA, internal transcribed spacer 2, and large subunit ribosomal RNA". The stretch from base 1 to 120 matches the Rfam family "5.8S ribosomal RNA", at positions 35 to 154 of the family's 154-position model. The record is from RNAcentral.